Long non-coding RNA from Bacillus rossius redtenbacheri, 2755 nucleotides. RefSeq lists it as uncharacterized. The transcript is spliced from 3 exons. NCBI's taxonomy places the organism in Eukaryota, Metazoa, Arthropoda, Insecta, Phasmatodea, Bacillidae. The record is from RefSeq and is a predicted model, not a curated record.
CUCCAAGAACAAUCGAUCUUUGGUUGUUUUAAAAAAAAAGUACUCUCUACGAGUGCCAUGUUCAAUGUCCUUCUUCGUCUUGCACUUACAGGCCACAAACGGUCUUUUCCAGCACCUUGACGCCAUGUUGCAGUAACGCCAAAAUUUUUGAUAUUGUGAUUUUAAGCUUUUAAGAUGCAUUAAGCAUCUACAACCGCACUAAGUGCGGUAAUCCACGAUACCGGCCAUGCGGUAAACUUGAAACAACUUGUGCUGUGGUGUUGGGGGCCUGUCCCCGGCAGCCCGGAAGCAAAAUGAAGUGACCGCACCUAAUUCAGGAAAGCCGACGACUAUUUCAUUAUUUUUGGCAUAAACUACUAACCUUUUUUAUCAACUCUACAUAAUGUGAAAAUUUCGUGGACUUAACCUCAUCGGACUUCUCGUCAAACUUUGUCUUCUCUUCUAUCUUAAAGAAAUUUUUUUUGAACCAAUGUAACGUCUUAUUUAAUAUAUAAUUUACAAGCAACGAAAUAAUGUAACAUGGACUAAAUAUAUUUUGAUAAUCAAAAAAAAAAAAAAAAAGUUUUGUAAGAAAUUCAUCAUGUGAUAUUGUAAAGAAAUUUUUUUUUCUUCUCUCUUGGGGCCCCAAAUAAGAUAAAACUUAAACAUAAUAAAAUCAAUAUCAUGUUAGAAAUAAUUUAAAAUACAAGUGAUAUUAUAAGAAGGUCAGGGUGUUUUUUUAAAAAAAAAAAUAAUUUACAUAAAAAAUAAAUUAUUUAUCUGAAAUUGUCCUUUUUUUUAUUAAUCAUUGAAUAAUACUCUUAUAGUUUAUUGUGAGUGUGCAUGACCAGUCAGCCCUGUUGAUACUCUAACUAACCCCUCCGCACAUCGAAACACUUCAUGAGCCUUGGUCCACGAGCUUUCAGCAUCCGCCUGCCUCUGUUCAUAACCUAAAAAUUUAUGAGUAGGAGGUAAGGUGUGGUGCAAUGUUAAAUUACAAACACCGCCUUAUGCAAUGAACUGUUCACAGUGCUGUGAUUGCAUAAUACAUUUAAUUAUUCAUCUGGUAAAUAUUGUUUUAAAUAGACACGCAGGUCCGUGCGUGAACAGUCGUGCGGAAACAGUGACGGUGUAAAAAUGGCUAGCUUUAAUCCCCGGAACACGUAUCCAGAUGUAACUCCAGGCGUAGGCAGCGUUGAGUUAAGCGAGUGGAGUCAGGGCGCGUUGAGACAUGUUACGGAAGAAUGUGACACUACCGUCCACUCGAAACAUAUGAGUCGUAUAGUUCCAAAACCUGCCUUCUCCCCAAAAAUCACAAAAUGAGUUGGUGGUACUGGCACCUUCUGUUUUUGAAUUCGCAUCCUUUGAUGUUGUCAGAUUAUACCAAAAAAAAUCUAUUCCUAUUUUAAACACCAUAGCAAAUCUAAGUUUUUUUCCAAAAACUGCCUUCUCCUUUCUAAAUUAGUUCCAAUACAUGCCUACUUCAAUUUAUUCCAAAUGCUGCUUUAUCCUCAUUUUUAGAAGUCUGCCAUAUCCAUUUCUGUUCCAAAACAUGCCUAUUUAAAGAUUAUUAUUAUGAAACUACCAAUGGUUCAGAACAAUUGUAUUUUUAAUAAUUUUUCUUUUCUAGGCUGUACAUUCUGGCUGUAUUCGAAUUUAUCACAUUCAUUUGUUGCAGAAAAGAAAUCAUGUGUUCCUGUGCUCCUGAGUUAUAUCUGAAAGAAGUUUGUGCUGUGAUGUAGAUUAAAUAGUGUUUUUCUUCAUAAAUCUCACAUAAUGGACACAUAUUCUGAACUAGAUGUUUCUGUCAUCAAAACUACAGAACGGGGGAGGAAGAGAACAAGAGAUCCUGCAAAGUGGAUAAAAAACAUAAAGAAAGUAGAACUAAGUAUUGUCGCCACCAAUGGGUGAAAUAUUGUUUGCAAGCUUUUGUUUUGAAAAAUCACAUUAUAAAACAUUAAUAUAAAUAUAACUAUAAAGAAUAUAAAUACUUAUUACAUUUGCAAUUGUACAACUCUAAAAAUGUCAUUUAUUUUCAGAUACACGUCCAAGUGUCCACCAAAGCAGCCCGAAUGUGAUCACAAAUCAAAUGCAUACAAGUGCUGCACAUUGACAAAAAGGGAUGUAAAUCAAUUCAAUGCUCUUUUCUACAAGACACCAAAUAAACUUGUACAGGAUUAUAUUAUUAUUAAGUACUGCAGUGCAUCGUUGCCGAAAAGAAAAAGGGCAGUAAAAGAAGGAAGUUCACGUAAAGGUAUAUCAAUAACGUAUUACGUUAAGAAGGCAACAUUGAGACCAGGAGAACCUGGUAAGAUUCCUGUCUGCCAAAAGACAUUUUUAGGCAUUUUAGGAGUUAAAAAGACAAGAGUACAAAACAUUUGUAAGAAGCAUUUCAUGAAAUGUGAGGUGUUGAAUGAACGCCGAGGUGGGGACACCAGGUCGAAAGCUUAUGAACCAAAGCGCAAAUCUAUUGCACAAUUUAUUGAGCAAUUAAAACCACUUGAAUCCCACUACUGCAGAGGUAAAAGCAAUAGGCAUUAUUUACCAAGCGAUUUGUCGAUCAAUAAACUGUGGAGAAUGUAUAAUACCCAGUGCACUGAAGUAAGUUCUGAAGUAAGUUUGAAAGUAACAAAAUCUUUUUUCAGGAAUUAUGUUAAUAGAAACUUCAAUAUGGGUUUUGGCCAGCCGGCAAUGGACGUUUGCUCUCAGUGUCUUCAGUUAACAGAACAAAUUAAACGUUGCCACGACAGUGAAAAGAAAUCUGAGCUGAUAAUUA